This 441-nucleotide ribosomal RNA is filed under the name uncultured bacterium. RNAcentral describes it as "partial 16S ribosomal RNA". It matches the Rfam family "Bacterial small subunit ribosomal RNA", at positions 338 to 795 of the family's 1533-position model. The record is from RNAcentral.
CCUACGGGAGGCAGCAGCGGGGAAUAUUGCACAAUGGGGGAAACCCUGAUGCAGCGACGCCGCGUGAGUGAAGAAGUAUUUCGGUAUGUAAAGCUCUAUCAGCAGGGAAGAAGAAAGACGGUACCUGACUAAGACGCCCCGGCUAACUACGUGCCAGCAGCCGCGGUAAUACGUAGGGGGCAAGCGUUAUCCGGAUUUACUGGGUGUAAGGGGAGCGUAGACGGCGGUGCAAGUCUGAAGUGAAAGCCCAGGGCUCAACCCUGGGACUGCUUUGGAAACUGUGGAGCUAGAGUGCUGGAGAGGUAAGUGGAAUUCCUAGUGUAGCGGUGAAAUGCGUAGAUAUUAGGAGGAACACCAGUGGCGAAGGCGGCUUACUGGACAGUAACUGACGUUGAGGCUCGAAAGCGUGGGGAGCAAACAGGAUUAGAUACCCGAGUAGUC